RNAcentral lists this transfer RNA (76 nucleotides) under Pseudobdellovibrionaceae bacterium. RNAcentral's name for it is "Bdellovibrionaceae bacterium tRNA-Glu". It matches the Rfam family "tRNA". Rfam says of the family: Transfer RNA (tRNA) molecules are approximately 80 nucleotides in length. RNAcentral also lists the same sequence under 2 other names. The record is from RNAcentral. Lineage: Bacteria; Pseudomonadati; Bdellovibrionota; Bdellovibrionia; Bdellovibrionales; Pseudobdellovibrionaceae.
GCCCCCAUCGUCUAGUGGCCUAGGACGUCGCCCUCUCACGGCGAAAACAGGGGUUCGAACCCCCUUGGGGGCGCCA